UGAGGCGAACCGGGGGAACUGAAACAUCUAAGUACCCCGAGGAAAAGAAAUCAACCGAGAUUCCCCCAGUAGCGGCGAGCGAACGGGGAGGAGCCCAGAGCCUGAAUCAGCAUGUGUGUUAGUGGAAGCGUCUGGAAAGGCGCGCGAUACAGGGUGACAGCCCCGUACACAAAAGCGCAUGUGCUGUGAGCUCGAUGAGUAGGGCGGGACACGUGGUAUCCUGUCUGAAUAUGGGGGGACCAUCCUCCAAGGCUAAAUACUCCUGACUGACCGAUAGUGAACCAGUACCGUGAGGGAAAGGCGAAAAGAACCCCGGCGAGGGGAGUGAAAAAGAACCUGAAACCGUGUACGUACAAGCAGUGGGAGCACAGGUUUACCUGUGUGACUGCGUACCUUUUGUAUAAUGGGUCAGCGACUUAUAUUCUGUAGCAAGGUUAACCGAAUAGGGGAGCCGGAGGGAAACCGAGUCUUAAUUGGGCGUUAAGUUGCAGGGUAUAGACCCGAAACCCGGUGAUCUAGCCAUGGGCAGGUUGAAGGUUGGGUAACACUAACUGGAGGACCGAACCGACUAAUGUUGAAAAAUUAGCGGAUGACCUGUGGCUGGGGGUGAAAGGCCAAUCAAACCGGGAGAUAGCUGGUUCUCCCCGAAAGCUAUUUAGGUAGCGCCUCGUGAAUUCAUCUCCGGGGGUAGAGCACUGUUUCGGCUAGGGGGCCAUCCCGGCUUACCAACCCGAUGCAAACUGCGAAUACCGGAGAAUGUUAUCACGGGAGACACACGGCGGGUGCUAACGUCCGUCGUGAAGAGGGAAACAACCCAGACCGCCAGCUAAGGUCCCAAAGUCAUGGUUAAGUGGGAAACGAUGUGGGAAGGCCCAGACAGCCAGGAUG
This 888-nucleotide ribosomal RNA is filed under the name Salmonella enterica. Its description in RNAcentral is "partial 23S ribosomal RNA". It matches the Rfam family "Bacterial large subunit ribosomal RNA", at positions 175 to 1100 of the family's 2925-position model. Lineage: Bacteria; Pseudomonadati; Pseudomonadota; Gammaproteobacteria; Enterobacterales; Enterobacteriaceae. The record is from RNAcentral.